UAGCAGAUCUGGGAUUUAACACAUCUCUG
This 29-nucleotide non-coding RNA is filed under the name Mus musculus (house mouse). Lineage: Eukaryota; Metazoa; Chordata; Mammalia; Rodentia; Muridae. The record is from RNAcentral.